AGUGAACGCUGGCGGUAGGCCUAACACAUGCAAGUCGAGCGGCAGCACAGUAAGAGCUUGCUCUUACGGGUGGCGAGUGGCGGACGGGUGAGGAAUACAUCGGAAUCUACUUUUUCGUGGGGGAUAACGUAGGGAAACUUACGCUAAUACCGCAUACGACCUACGGGUGAAAGCAGGGGAUCUUCGGACCUUGCGCGAUUGAAUGAGCCGAUGUCGGAUUAGCUAGUUGGCGGGGUAAAGGCCCACCAAGGCAACGAUCCGUAGCUGGUCUGAGAGGAUGAUCAGCCACACUGGAACUGAGACACGGUCCAGACUCCUACGGGAGGCAGCAGUGGGGAAUAUUGGACAAUGGGCGCAAGCCUGAUCCAGCCAUACCGCGUGGGUGAAGAAGGCCUUCGGGUUGUAAAGCCCUUUUGUUGGGAAAGAAAAGCAGCAGGUUAAUACCCCGCUGUUCUGACGGUACCCAAAGAAUAAGCACCGGCUAACUUCGUG
Molecule: ribosomal RNA, 492 nt
Filed under: uncultured bacterium
Lineage: Bacteria
Description: partial 16S ribosomal RNA
Rfam family: Bacterial small subunit ribosomal RNA
Source: RNAcentral